This 1256-nucleotide long non-coding RNA is filed under the name Manihot esculenta (cassava). RNAcentral's name for it is "long non-coding RNA (MESC_LNC007022)". Lineage: Eukaryota; Viridiplantae; Streptophyta; Magnoliopsida; Malpighiales; Euphorbiaceae. The record is from RNAcentral.
UACUCAUCAAUCUGGCACGUAUCUUCUUCUUCUUGUGUUUCUUUCUCUUCUUUCAUGGAUUCAUCUUCAGGCACUGCUAAUUCUUCUUCUUCUUCUUCUUCUUCUUCUGUGCACUCUGGAAGCUUUGGAUUUUGCUUGUAGAUUUUGAAGAUAAGAGGCGAUAAAGUUAAAAGUGAUGUGAGAAAGAUGGAUGAUGAGAACCCACAGCCUAGAAAAGCAGCAAGAACAAAACCAAGAACAGACAUCCAUGAUAAUGAGUUUUUGAAGAAAAAAGAAAGAGAAGGCAUUUGUUCUUGAUCAACUUUUUGUUGUUUUUAUAUGAUCAAUUUAUUCGCUAGAAAGGGUUUAUUGAAAUGCAAGAUCUAUGACAGAACAAUACAUUACAAAAAAAAAUUCUCAACUAAUAUUUCAAUAAGAUCUGUUACUAGGAAGCAAGAUUGAAGAAGAAAAAAUGCAGAAACUUGAAGAACAGCUAGUGAUUUUUGGUCUUGCUGGGACAUGAAACAAAGACAAAGAGCAAAGAAAUGGAAGAAUUUGCAUGUGAAAAUUGAAGAGAGAUUUAGAAUGAAAAAGAAGAAGCUUGAAAUGGGCAGUGAAUUUUGUUGUUGAUGUGUGGUUGGAGAUGGGAAAAUAAGCAGAUAAUAACUUAACUGGUUUGCAAUGAAGAAGCAUAUGUAAAACAUUUAAUAAAGCUUAUUUUAGUUUAAUUUUCUUCUUGCUCCUAAAAAACUGAGUUUUUCUUUCCCAUAUAACCCCUAUAAGAUGGUCUUCCUCUGCAAGUGAUUCUCUUGAAAAACCCAAAACCCUAGUUUUUUUCCCAAUUGAUUUACAGUCUCAGAGCCUGGAUAUUAGAGAAGCCAUGUGCACACAUCUGAGCUCACCACAUGGCACUAAUUUUCCUUCCAGUUCCACUAGAAAAAAACAUAAAUUAGAAAAAGAGAACAUGAGAUAAAUAUUAUAUUAAUUUUCUCCAUCAGCCAUUCUCAUUCUUCACCCCCCAAAACCCUAAAUCAAAGCUCAUUUCCAAUCUGCAGAAACCGAAACGCUUACAUUUUUUGAACCCUCAAACAAUAUCAUGUAACUGGCCAAAACCCAGAAGCCAUUUUCUUUUUUUUUUUUUUUUUUUCUGUUCUUCUCAACUUUUUCAUUGGCAAUAGAAAAGCCUGUAAUCAAAACUUUUCCACUUCUUAUAAGCUAUAACAAAACUCAUGUCAGAGUGUACUGUCAUACACAAAAGCCUAGAGAGGGAAAAGAGA